Molecule: ribosomal RNA, 253 nt
Filed under: uncultured bacterium
Lineage: Bacteria
Description: partial 16S ribosomal RNA
Rfam family: Bacterial small subunit ribosomal RNA
Source: RNAcentral
AACGUAGGUUCCGAGCGUUAUCCGGAUUUACUGGGCGUAAAGCGCGUUCAGGCGGUUUGGCAAGUCGGGCAUGAAAUCUCUCGGCUCAACCGGGAGAGGUUGUCCGAUACUUCCAGACUUGAGGGCAGUAGAGGGUGGUGGAAUUCCGGGUGUAGUGGUGAAAUGCGUAGAUAUCCGGAGGAACACCGGUGGCGAAGGCGGUGGUCUGGGCCGGCACUGACGCUGAGGAGCGAAAGCGUGGGUAGCAAACAGG